Non-coding RNA from Paenibacillus sp. Soil750, 181 nucleotides. Lineage: Bacteria; Bacillati; Bacillota; Bacilli; Caryophanales; Paenibacillaceae. The record is from Rfam.
CAAAACCUUCGGGGCGUGGUGAAAUUCCACACCGGCGGUGAUUCGUAUGCAUGUACGUGUACAUGGUUGCGAUCAGUCCGUGACCCGUUGUGAAGCUAGCGGUACCUGACAACAGCUUCGCUACGGUUGACCUGGUGGAAUUCCGGGACCGACAGUAUAGUCUGGAUGGGAGAAGGAAAAU